AUCCAUAUGACGGGUACCAAAUAGGACGAAAUGCGCAUCCUAGAU
RNAcentral lists this non-coding RNA (45 nucleotides) under Trichobilharzia regenti. The record is from RNAcentral. Lineage: Eukaryota; Metazoa; Platyhelminthes; Trematoda; Strigeidida; Schistosomatidae.